This 201-nucleotide small nuclear RNA is filed under the name Felis catus (domestic cat). Its description in RNAcentral is "7SK RNA". It matches the Rfam family "7SK RNA", at positions 1 to 255 of the family's 331-position model. From Rfam's summary of the family: 7SK was discovered as an abundant small nuclear RNA in the mid-70s but a possible function has only recently been suggested. Two independent studies have found that 7SK RNA binds the CDK9/cyclin T complex (known as elongation factor P-TEFb). P-TEFb activates transcription by phosphorylating the C-terminal domain of RNA polymerase II. The record is from Rfam by way of RNAcentral. Lineage: Eukaryota; Metazoa; Chordata; Mammalia; Carnivora; Felidae.
CUUAGCAUAUGGAAGGAGAGAACUUCUCUAGCUGCGCGCUCGGUCGAAGAGGACGACCUUCCCUGAUAGAGGAGGACCGUUCUUCGGUCAAGGGUAUACGAGUAGCUGCGCUCCCCUGCUAGAACCUCCAAACAAGCUCUCAAGGAGAGAACUUCUCAACUGUCAGAAUUGCUUUUUGGAUCUGACUGCCUAGAUCUGAAA